This 96-nucleotide non-coding RNA is filed under the name uncultured Lachnoclostridium sp. Its description in RNAcentral is "NiCo riboswitch". It matches the Rfam family "NiCo (Nickel/Cobalt) riboswitch aptamer". The record is from RNAcentral. Lineage: Bacteria; Bacillati; Bacillota; Clostridia; Lachnospirales; Lachnospiraceae.
ACAGUACAAACUGAGCAGGCAAUGGAUUAAGAUCCGUGAGGCCGGGCCGUUUAGGCGGCAGCAGAGCGCUAUUUUAUAUCGCAUCUGUGGGACAGU